Molecule: ribosomal RNA, 152 nt
Filed under: Bryum argenteum
Lineage: Eukaryota; Viridiplantae; Streptophyta; Bryopsida; Bryales; Bryaceae
Description: 5.8S ribosomal RNA
Rfam family: 5.8S ribosomal RNA
About the family: 5.8S ribosomal RNA (5.8S rRNA) is a component of the large subunit of the eukaryotic ribosome.
Source: RNAcentral
ACUCUCAGCAACGGAUAUCUUGGCUCUUGCAACGAUGAAGAACGCAGCGAAAUGCGAUACGUAGUGUGAAUUGCAGAAUUCCGCGAAUCAUCGAGUUUUUGAACGCAAGUUGCGCCCGAGGCUUGUCCGAGGGCAUUUCCGCUAAAGCGUCA